GUUUGUGAACUGCAUUAGACUGUUAUAUCGUUAUAAAAGGAUACAAUUCGUUCACAAUGGUCCGUAGUGGAAAAAAUGGUGACCUUCAUCUUAAACAGAUUGCAUAUUACAAACGAACUGGUGAAUAUCAUUCAACUACACUGCCAAGUGAGAGAAGUGGCAUAAGAAGAGCAGCAAAAAAAUUUGUCUUCAAAGAAAAAAAGCUGUUUUAUGUUGGAAAAGACAGAAAACAAAAUCGUUUGGUAAUUGUUUCAGAAGAGGAAAAAAAGAAAGUCUUAAGAGAAUGCCAUGAAAAUGACAGUGGAGCUCAUCAUGGUAUAUCCAGGACCCUCACUCUGGUAGAAUCCAAUUAUUAUUGGACAUCUGUGACCAAUGAUGUCAAACAGUGGGUAUAUGCUUGUCAGCAUUGCCAAGUGGCAAAAAAUACAGUUAUUGUAGCACCGAAACAGCACCUUCUCAAGGUGGAAAAUCCAUGGAGUUUAGUUACUGUUGAUCUGAUGGGGCCUUUUCAUACAAGCAACAGAAGUCAUGUAUAUGCUAUAAUCAUGACAGAUUUGUUCACCAAAUGGAUUGUGAUUUUGCCUCUAUGUGAUGUUUCAGCAUCAGAAGUUUCUAAAGCUAUUAUCAAUAUAUUUUUCUUAUAUGGACCUCCUCAGAAAAUAAUAAUGGACCAAAGAGAUGAAUUCAUUCAACAGAUCAAUAUUGAACUGUACAGAUUGUUUGGCAUAAAGCAAAUUGUAAUUUCUCACACCUCUGGAACUGUUAACCCAACGGAAAGUACACCUAACACAAUCAAAGCAUUUCUCUCCAAACACUGUGCUGACCACCCAAACAAUUGGGAUGAUCACCUAUCAGCUGUUUCAUUUGCCUUCAAUGUAACUCACUUGGAACCUACU
RNAcentral lists this long non-coding RNA (896 nucleotides) under Homo sapiens (human). RNAcentral describes it as "long non-coding RNA NONHSAT204532.1". Lineage: Eukaryota; Metazoa; Chordata; Mammalia; Primates; Hominidae. The record is from RNAcentral.